GAUGAACGCUGGCGGCGUGCCUAAUACAUGCAAGUCGAGCGAACAGACGAGGAGCUUGCUCCUCUGACGUUAGCGGCGGACGGGUGAGUAACACGUGGAUAACCUACCUAUAAGACUGGGAUAACUUCGGGAAACCGGAGCUAAUACCGGAUAAUAUAUUGAACCGCAUGGUUCAAUAGUGAAAGACGGUUUUGCUGUCACUUAUAGAUGGAUCCGCGCCGCAUUAGCUAGUUGGUAAGGUAACGGCUUACCAAGGCGACGAUGCGUAGCCGACCUGAGAGGCUGAUCGGCCGCACUAGAACUGAGACACGGUCCAGGCUCCUACGGGAGGCAGCAGAAGGGAAUCUUCCGCAAUGGGCGAAAGCCUGACGGAGCAACGCCGCGUGAGUGAUGAAGGUCUUCGGAUCGUAAAACUCUGUUAUUAGGGAAGAACAAAUGUGUAAGUAACUAUGCACGUCUUGACGGUACCUAGUCAGAAAGCCACGGCUAACUACGUG
RNAcentral lists this ribosomal RNA (497 nucleotides) under uncultured bacterium. RNAcentral describes it as "partial 16S ribosomal RNA". It matches the Rfam family "Bacterial small subunit ribosomal RNA", at positions 28 to 507 of the family's 1533-position model. The record is from RNAcentral.